Molecule: ribosomal RNA, 253 nt
Filed under: uncultured bacterium
Lineage: Bacteria
Description: partial 16S ribosomal RNA
Rfam family: Bacterial small subunit ribosomal RNA
Source: RNAcentral
UACGGGGGGGGCAAGCGUUGUUCGGAAUUACUGGGCGUAAAGGGCUCGUAGGCGGCCAACUAAGUCAGACGUGAAAUCCCUCGGCUCAACCGGGGAACUGCGUCUGAUACUGGAUGGCUCGAGUUUGGGAGAGGGAUGCGGAAUUCCAGGUGUAGCGGUGAAAUGCGUAGAUAUCUGGAGGAACACCGGUGGCGAAGGCGGCAUCCUGGACCAACACUGACGCUCAGGAGCGAAAGCCAGGGGAGCAAACGGG